This 2311-nucleotide long non-coding RNA is filed under the name Lepisosteus oculatus (spotted gar). Its description in RNAcentral is "lncRNA (ENSLOCG00000021103.1)". The record is from RNAcentral. Lineage: Eukaryota; Metazoa; Chordata; Actinopteri; Semionotiformes; Lepisosteidae.
UCCUCCAUUGCUGUGCCCACUGGGUCUGCGUUCUGUCCCUGGCGAACAGAGAGCAUCUUCUGACAGCAGCCGCGACAGCAGGCGCUUCGGACCACCCCUUUGGAUCAUCCUUUGCGGCUUCGCUCCAAGUUUCCUCGCUCUGGACCCCUGCACGUGCGUCUGGACAGAGUUUUGGUUUCGUUCUCGCCUGCCUGUGCACAGCCUGCUCAGCCCCUGCUCCUCCAAUCGCAUUCCGCCUCCCGCCUCCAGACCCGAGACUUUCAUCAGCUGACUGCGGACGUGUUGCAUUUUAGUCAUGUUAUCUUGCAAUCGAUGUAAGUUAGCAGAGACAAAUACUGCGAACGGAGUGGAUCAUCUUUCUCAGAUUCGACCUUUCAACAUCUCAUCAGGAAUGUUCAGGGGUGUCAUGCAGGACCCCUUACUUACAAAGGAGGAGGUUCGUUGGGCAUGUGGUAUACUGUACAUCUUUAAAAAAGCUGAAUGCGAUAUUCAUUCUGGCUUUGGGAUACAUGCACAUACAUGCUCCUUUAGAAUCACAGCUACGGUUUUGCGGUUCUGUGGGGCUUUAUGAACAGUGAAGUGGAGACGUGGUGCUCUGUCACUCUGAAAUGCAUUUUGUUUUGCAAAAGAGGAAGAUCUGGUUUGACAGAUUUGCACUGUGGAAAUUAUUGUUUUUAUAUUUUACAUCGCUGUGUUUAAACAUCACAUAAAUGCCUACUUGAAUGGAUCCCUUCUGCUGCUCGCAAAAAAUCAUACGAUUUCAUACCAGCAUAGCUACACCACGCCCAUCAGGGGGCGGUCAUAGUAGUCUUGCGUAGUCCUGUUACACUUGGGUCAUGUGGUGUGUGUAAUCCCAUUCUUAUUAGACAGAGGCAGUGUGGAUUACAGGAUGGCAGUGAACCCAUUGCACGGAUCUCCCUUUGUUUAUUUUCUAUUAAAAUGUACCCUUCAUCAGUCACGGCCUUAAAGAGCAAACUAAUGAACAGUCACAGAGCUCACACGUUCCGCUUUCUCAGGACAAGGAUUUUGCACGCUUGAGCUGUUUUGAUUUUGAAUUGUUUUUUUUAUUUGGAGGUUAAAGCAGAAUAGAAUAAAGUUUUAUUUUUUAAGGAAUGGGUAAGGGGGCUCCACAGCCAAAAUAUUGGGUUUCUUUUACUUUCCUUUCAGUACAGAAUGAACCUUUACCUGUUCUGUUGCAGCCUGCGCAUGCUGACGCAGCUUCUUACUCGAAAGUUUGAUUUGGUCCCCUAACCUUUGCAACUAAAACCCAUUACAAAACUAAAGGCUCAUUGGAAGGGAGAGUUACAUCUCUACUAAUAGUCUUAUGUUUUAUAAAGUCCUGUUCAUUAUACAUCAAUUCAAGGUACUUUAAGACAUAACAAAAGGGAAAAGUAUUCAUAGAGCUAAUACUGUAAAUUAAACUACUAAAUACUAGAGUAUAAAUGUACAUUUUAAGACGGGAAUAAAAGAACAGGAAGAUCGAAAACAGACCUCAAAGACGAUAGUUAAUGAUAUGAAGGUACGCAGGAAAUUAAUCCUUUCAUGGUGAGCAGGAACAUUUAGAAUUUUAUUCUGAAAUAUAGAGGAAUAAUUCCUCACAGUUAUAUAGUGCUUUUCUGGACACUCCACUCAAAGCACUUUUACAGGUAAUGGGGAUCCCCUCCACCACCACCAAUGUGCAGCCCCACCUGGAUGAUGCGACAGCAGCCAGAGUGCACCAGUAUGCUCCCCACACACCAGCUCUCAGUGGGGAGGAGACCAGAGUGAUGAAGCCAGUUCAGAGAUGGGGAUUAUUAGGAGGCCAUGAUUAGUAAAGGCCAGGGGGAAAUUUGGUCAGGACAGCAGGGUAACGCUCAAGCUCUUUUCAAGAAAUGUCCUGCUCCUCAUUCAUAGGAAUGGCGCCUUUUUACAGCACAGUGUCCCCAUCACUAUGCUGGGGCAUUAGGACCCACACGGACUGCAGGGUGAGCGCCCCCUGCUGGACCCACUAACACCUCUUCCAGCAGCAAGCUUAGUUUUUCCCAGGAGUCUCCCAUCCAGGUACUGGCCAGGCUCACAGUGCAGAGCUCCAGUGGGCUGCCAGCUGUGAGCUGUGAGCUGCAGGGUGAUAUGGCUGCUGGCUAGAGAAAGCAGAGGAAGGAAGCUGAAGUAGCUUAUAUACAGUACGCUCUUGCAUUGAAGUUUUAGUUGAGAUCCAAGUAGUUCUGAAUGUGUUUGGAUAUACAGUAUGAAUAUCAACCUCUCCAAAAAAUAAAAUCCACAGUGUUUAACUGAUGUAUAACUACAGCUGUUCACAUUGACACUGUAUUCC